UGUCUAGGAUGAUAACUACGAAGGCUUGUUUCUCAAAAACUUUUGCAGUGGCCGCCUAGGAGCUUUUGCUUUCGCCAGGCGUGAGAGUUAGUGCUGCUUAAUCUUUCCUUGGAUGUCUGAGCUA
Morus notabilis is the source of this 124-nucleotide non-coding RNA. The record is from Rfam. NCBI's taxonomy places the organism in Eukaryota, Viridiplantae, Streptophyta, Magnoliopsida, Rosales, Moraceae.